Non-coding RNA from Anas platyrhynchos (mallard), 997 nucleotides. NCBI's taxonomy places the organism in Eukaryota, Metazoa, Chordata, Aves, Anseriformes, Anatidae. The record is from RefSeq and is a predicted model, not a curated record.
UGGUUUUAAUUACGCGGGGGGGCGGCCGGGGGGGCGAGGGUGCGGGGCAGCGGCGGUUCUCGGCCCCGCAGCCCCGGCAGAUUUGGGGAAAGUGAGGCUGGGACCGGAGGGGGGGUGCAGAGAAAGGGACCCGGGCGCAGCCCAAACUCCGGCGCAGCCCGAACUCCGGCCGGGGCAGCGGCCCCCCCACCCCCGCGGCUCAGCGGCCCCCCCGCAUGCGGUGCGUUUUCGGGAGCGGUGCCCCCGGGCGCCGGGGGAGCUGACACAUGUCACCGGCCAAACUUUCCCGCGGCAAACGGCUCUCACUUUCCCACCGGGGCUGAAGCCGGGAGCCCCUCACCGUGGUGUCCGGCCUCUGAUGCCUGGCUUGGCCCCCAGCAGCCCAAGGAUGGUGGCCCUCUGAAGUGGCCCGGCACCCACACGGCUUCCAGCCUUCAGGAGAAAGUUCAUCGGAAAGCUAACAUGAAAUUUGUUUACUGUAAGACUGCCACUGUUGGUGGGGAUCACUGAGGACAAGGAGCAGUUGUAACAUAAAUAAAUCAGCACUCAGAGACGGAGGGUUCUGGUGACGUUUUGGUGGAUGCAGAAGACUUGCCGUCAUAUUCCCACGUUCCGGGAACAACAACUGUUACCGGGGCAGGGAAGAGCUGACCAGUCUGAAACAAGCAAAGAGGGAAGAGAAUCAGAAAAUGGACAAGAAUGAGUGAGCAUCUGGCUUUGUGAGUACAUUUGUGAAACAUCUGAGAGGCAGAGGAAGAUCUCUUCUCCAGUCCCUGAUCUACUGUGUAUUCAGAACUAACAGUGAAGGACAUGCUGCAGCAGAGAUUGCUUUUCAAAUUUCUGUCUAUGCAGUAAGCUGUUCCUUGCUUUUGGACUGUAAGAACAUAUAAUAUCUGGUUGAGCUUUUGUUGCAUAGCUUGGCGAUGGGAGAAGGAACAGCUUCAGGAGGGAGAUCAUCAUUCCUGAGGAAUAUCCCAUUACCUAUUGAGUAGUGCAU